This 463-nucleotide ribosomal RNA is filed under the name uncultured bacterium. RNAcentral describes it as "partial 16S ribosomal RNA". It matches the Rfam family "Bacterial small subunit ribosomal RNA", at positions 28 to 507 of the family's 1533-position model. The record is from RNAcentral.
GACGAACGCUGGCGGCGUGCUUAACACAUGCAAGUCGAACGGUAAGGCCCUUCGGGGUACACGAGUGGCGAACGGGUGAGUAACGCGUGAGUAACCUGCCCUUCACUCUGGGAUAACAGUUGGAAACGGCUGCUAAUACCGGAUAUUCAGCUCCUGUCGCCUGGGGGGGGGUGGAAAGUUUUGGUGGUGGAGGAUGGGCUCGCGUCCUAUCAGCUUGUUGGUGGGGUGAUGGCCUACCAAGGCGUCGACGGGUAGCCGGCCUGAGAGGGCGACCGGCCACAUUGGGACUGAGAUACGGCCCAAACUCCUACGGGAGGCAGCAGUGGGGAAUAUUGCACAAUGGGCGGAAGCCUGAUGCAGCAACGCCGCGUGCGGGAUGACGGCCUUCGGGUUGUAAACCGCUUCCAGCAGGGACGAAGCGCAAGUGACGGUACCUGCAGAAGAAGCACCGGCUAACUACGUG